This 64-nucleotide transfer RNA is filed under the name Sinotaia quadrata. RNAcentral's name for it is "tRNA-Ala". The record is from RNAcentral. Lineage: Eukaryota; Metazoa; Mollusca; Gastropoda; Architaenioglossa; Viviparidae.
AUAUAAUUCAAUCACCCUGGUUUUGCAUUCCAGAAUUAAAGCUAGUUUUUAGCUAUGAAUUAUG